AGUCUAUGGUGAAGACAUUUUCUAAGCAUCUCCUUGAAUCUCUCCCAUGCUUCACUUAGUGUUUCAUCUUCAAACUAUAGAAAUGCAAGAAUUUCGUUUCUAAACC
Small nucleolar RNA from Cucurbita pepo subsp. pepo (vegetable marrow), 106 nucleotides. NCBI's taxonomy places the organism in Eukaryota, Viridiplantae, Streptophyta, Magnoliopsida, Cucurbitales, Cucurbitaceae. The record is from RefSeq and is a predicted model, not a curated record.